This 239-nucleotide ribosomal RNA is filed under the name uncultured Lactobacillus sp. RNAcentral describes it as "partial 16S ribosomal RNA". It matches the Rfam family "Bacterial small subunit ribosomal RNA", at positions 123 to 355 of the family's 1533-position model. The record is from RNAcentral. Lineage: Bacteria; Bacillati; Bacillota; Bacilli; Lactobacillales; Lactobacillaceae.
AACCUGCCCAAGAGAUCGGGAUAACACCUGGAAACAGAUGCUAAUACCGGAUAAUAACAGAUGAUGCCUAUCAACUGUUUAAAAGAUGGUUCUGCUAUCACUCUUGGAUGGACCUGCGGUGCAUUAGCUAGUUGGUAGGGUAACGGCCUACCAAGGCGAUGAUGCAUAGCCGAGUUGAGAGACUGAUCGGCCACAUUGGGACUGAGACACGGCCCAAACUCCUACGGGAGGCAGCAGCC